This 253-nucleotide ribosomal RNA is filed under the name uncultured bacterium. RNAcentral's name for it is "partial 16S ribosomal RNA". It matches the Rfam family "Bacterial small subunit ribosomal RNA", at positions 524 to 776 of the family's 1533-position model. The record is from RNAcentral.
UACGGAGGGGGCAAGCGUUAUUCGGAAUUAUUGGGCGUAAAGGGCGCGUAGGCGGCUAGAUGUGUCAAAGGUGAAAUCCCUCGGCUCAACUGAGGAACUGCCUUUGAAACUGUCUAGCUUGAGGCCGGGAGAGGGUAGCGGAAUUCCCAGUGUAGCGGUGAAAUGCGUAGAUAUCGGGAGGAACACCAGUGGCGAAGGCGGCUUCCUGGCCUGUUCUUGACGCUGAGGCGCGAAAGCUAGGGUAGCAAACGGG